CCUCAACAGGGGUUCCAUCUCGGGCGCGUGCAUGAACCCGGCGCGCGCCUUCGGCCCCGCGGUGGUGAAGAACCUGUGGGAGUCGCACUGGGUCUACUGGCUGGGGCCAUUCCUCGGGGGCCUACUCAUAGGCGCCCUCGUGCGGCUGCUGCUGGGCGACAGACGACGCCGAAUCCUGUUCAAGUGAAGAGGAGGAGGACGCGCACGACCGUCCCGCCCGCAGGUCAACUCAGCCUGAAAUCACUCACGGCCGACAUCAGUGGCGAAUAUUCCGAACCGAUGGGGUGGAGGGGGGGCCUCCUCCCUAAGGUCAUGCUCCUUGGUGCGGUGUGGCUGCUGAAAAUGGGUAAAAAAAAACCUGAAAAGAACAUCGGCUACGGAGAGACAAAGGCGGCCGGGCGUGCUUUGCUGCCCGGAUGCACCAGAACCUUAAUAGGUGCUCGCUAACAGCGCUUAACUCGGCCGUCCUUGAGGGCGAACGGGACAUAUUCUACUCUUGUAUAUAACACGCGAAUGCACACACAGAUAUCAACUUUUAUAUACGUGACAUAUAUAUUUCGAAAAUUAGCUUAAUGCUCAUUAAACAUUAUUUGUAUUGAACCCACGUCAAGCCAUAAGCGGUGGGGGAGGGGUGGGUUGGGGUGGGGCGGUGUAAUGAUUAAUCGAAUCGUACCAAUUCUUAUGGAUUCCGCGUGCGCGUGGCGGAUUGAGACCAUCCGAUUCAAAUAAUCGAAUCGAGGACAGAUCCUCCGAUAAAUAAAUCACGGGCUCCCAAUUCGUGUGCAUCGCAACUCACGCACGCGAGUUCAUGUACAUUCAUGUAAAAAAAGAAAGACAAAGAUCCCCCUUAAAGGCUCGACACGCUUGUGGGGCAAGUGCUGCUCUCGCGCACUUUUAUAUCUACAUACACACACGUACUAUGCCUUCAUGCAGCAGUGGACUGACCACGGCUGAUGAUUUGAACGCUCGGACAAAUAAGUGAGGAAGGACCAUUGCCCGAAAACGUCGCCUGUUAUACAUCCAGGCAGUGGUUAUUGCGAACGGUCGUGUGUUUAUUGUUACACCACUGGCCACACAGCGUCACCAACUAUUUAGCAAAUGUUGUUUACCAGGCGAGACCAGGCCACAGACGAUAGCUUAACGGAGUGGAGACAUCUUUGGCAGCCAACUAAUCUAAACGCGCGACGUUGACUCUAAAUGUAGAAGGGGGAAAACCGGAGGCCCCGGAGAAAAAUCCACGCGACCACGGGGAGAGAGAGAGAGAGACACGCAAACUCCAAAUAUACAGCAGCAGGCAUCGUCAGGGUCGGGGUCGAACCCACGACCUCCUGCGUACCAGGCGAGGUAGUUAACAUCUCCGAGCCACCGUGAUGAUGAUGAUGAUGAGAGAGAGACACGCAAACUCCCAAUAUACAGCAGCAAGCAUCGUCAGGGUCGGGAUCGAACCCACGACCUCCUGCGUACCAGGCGAGGUAGUUAACAUCUCCUAGCUACCCUGAUGAUGAUGGUGAGAGAGAGACGCAAACUCCAAAUAUACAGCAGCAGGCAUCGUCAGGGUCGGGAUCGAACCCACGACCUCCUGCGUACCAGGCGAGGUAGUUAACAUCUCCUAGCCACCGUGAUGAUGGUGAGAGAGAAAGACGCAAACUCUAAAUAUAAAGCAGCAGGCAUCGUCAGGAUCGGGAUCGAACCCACGACCUCCUGCGUACCAGGCGAGGUAGUAAACAUAUCCUAGCCACCGUGAUGAUGGUGAGAGAGAAAGACGCAAACUCUAAAUAUAAAGCAGCAGGCAUCGUCAGGAUCGGGAUCGAACCCACGACCUCCUGCGUACCAGGCGAGGUAGUAAACAUAUCCUAGCCACUGUGAUGAUGGUGAGAAAGAGAGAGAGACGCAAACUCCAAAUAUAUAGCAACAGGCAUCGUCAGGGUCGGGAUCGAACCCACGACCUCCUGCGUACCAGGCGAGGUAGUUAACAUCUCCUAGCCACCGCGGCGCUCAGUAAGGCAGUGUUUCACCUCCCGUGGGAAGCUCCACAUCAUACACAAAAGCAAAACAUACACAAGGGUCGGAAACAAGAAAAUCAAUCCGUCUCUCCCCAAAUUCAAAAAUCGACCCCCAGUGAGUUUUAGUUUUCAGUCAGCGGCGAGGGGUCCUGCCGUCUGGCGCGCCCUCUAGCGGACGGCGACAUCAGCCGACAGUGGCAGAUCGUGGCCCCGGAUUCAGCGAAGCGCGGGGCCUCAGCAUAUGAUGUUAUAAAGGGGCCUUAAAUAAAAUAAAAAAUACACGUAAAUAUUAAAACACUAAUUAUGUAACUUGCGCAGUAAAGUAAUUGUAUGUUUUUCAUUUGCUAUACAGCCAAAUCAUACGACCGAUCACUAACCUUAAACACCCAGUCGUUCAUAGAAGUUAAAGGCGGUAUAGUACUAAACUAAUAGAGCAAGUGCAGAAUUGAUAGCUUGAGAGCAUUUAGCGCGGGGCCCUUGAAAGUGCGGGGCCCUUGAAAGUAUGUGUAGCUACUUGUGCUACUCGGAUAAUUAUCCUACUCCUCCUCCUGCUCCUACCGUGGGGUGUAUUCACUGCAACCUUUUCGUCGUUUGCAGUUUCCACUCUUCCUCUCGCCGUCCCGUCGUGGCAAAUGUGCUCACGCAGUGUGCGCCCAUCGUCUUUCGAGGCGCCAAUCUCUUCCGUGGCAUCGUCGUCAAGACAUUCUCCGUGACGUCCUCCUCCCUUUCCGGUUCCUUCCAAUUUUUUCGAACAGCAACAGUAACAACACCACCACCACCACUUUUCAUAUCCCUGUCCCGGUUGUUGUUAUUGUUGUUGUGGGCCAUUCGAUAGACGUGUCCACACAGUGACAAUCUCCUUCUCAUCAUCGCGGCGUCGUCAUCGUCGUCUUCUUCUUCUGCCACGUGAUAGCUUUCUCUACCUCCUCCGGUUAGCGUGGAUGGCUCCGUACGGCGCGAAAGAAGUUCAACGUGCACGCAUUGUAACAAUGGUCACUCAUUUUCUUGGUUCUUUCGGUAAAGUCAGCGUCUGUCUUUCCGACAGCCCUGUUCUUCACCUGAGGACGGCUGCUUGCGUUGUGGCCGAAACGUCGUGAGAAUUGUAUUUUAUUAUGUUUUAGUUUUAUUAUUUUAUUAAAUCCCUUCUACGUGACUUCACCGAAAGAACCAAGAAGAUGAAUCCCUGCUGCAGUCACGAAAGAAGCUUUACAUCGAAAUUUAAUGGUCACUCAUUUCGGGGUCCGGCUUCGACGCAGCAGCGUCACCGCCGUGGCAAAUACUUCGUGAAUUCGAGUGCCAACGGUGGCACGGGGCAAGCUAUUGCAUGGAUGCGCCUUUACCUUAACGAGCAAUUUGUAGCGAUACUAGAGGGUGUACACACACGCACGUGCGUUUUUUAAAAAUUCGAUCAUUAUUUGGAUUUCGUCACGUCGGCAGGCAUGUACCUCCUCUCUCUUUUGAAGAACCUCACGGGCCCUUUUUUGUUGUUGUUUAACGCACGGUAUGUAAUAUAGUAAAGUAUUUAAGGUUAGUACACACGCAGUAUUAACCGGGGCGGACGCGCGUUUCGAACCGCUAAAAAUAUAUAUUAACCCUCUACAGCCAAGCGACGAACGCGCGCCACCGUCUGAGCCGCGUCGCCCGUCGCUGUAACGAUGUUGACGGAUUGUUGAUCGGCGUACUAAUAAAGGCAUCAUCAACUCC
Molecule: long non-coding RNA, 3707 nt
Organism: Lethenteron reissneri (Far Eastern brook lamprey)
Lineage: Eukaryota; Metazoa; Chordata; Hyperoartia; Petromyzontiformes; Petromyzontidae
Source: RefSeq, a predicted model, not a curated record